This 441-nucleotide ribosomal RNA is filed under the name uncultured bacterium. RNAcentral describes it as "SSU rRNA". It matches the Rfam family "Bacterial small subunit ribosomal RNA", at positions 26 to 518 of the family's 1533-position model. The record is from RNAcentral.
AGAACGAACGCUGGCGGCAGGCCUAAAACAUGCAAGUCGAGCGCCCAGCAAUGGGAGCGGCGGACGGGUGAGUAACACGUGGGAACGUACCUUUCGGUUCGGAACAACUCAGGGAAACUUGAGCUAAUGCCGAAUUCGCCCUUCGGGGAAAGAUUUAUCGCCGAAAGAUCGGCCCGCGUUGGAUUAGCUUGUUGGUGAGGUAAUGGCUCACCAAGGCGACGAUCCAUAGCUGGUUUGAGAGAACGACCAGCCACACUGGGACUGAGACACGGCCCAGACUCCUACGGGAGGCAGCAGUUGGGAAUCUUGGACAAUGGGGAAACCCUGAUCCAGCCAUGCCGCGUGAGUGAUGAAGGCCUUCGGGUUGUAAAACUCUUUCGACGGGGACGAUAAUGACGUACCCGUAGAAGAAGCUCCGGCUAACUUCGUGCCAGCAGCCGC